Non-coding RNA from Biomphalaria pfeifferi, 617 nucleotides. NCBI's taxonomy places the organism in Eukaryota, Metazoa, Mollusca, Gastropoda, Planorbidae. The record is from the annotation of a GenBank genome assembly.
UGUGAAUGAUAACCUAUACUAUUUAGUGAGUGUGUAUGCCUAUGGCAUGUUAGCAGAUGCAAUGAAACCUUUUAACAAAAUUAAUGUUAAACACAAUCUGUGUCAUAACACUCUCUGCAGAGUGAUUUAGCUCAAAAAGCUUAGUUUUGAGUUUUAAAUUUUUUUUGAUAAAUUAUUUUGAGUCUAUUCAACUUCAACCAGUACUUUGUAUUACAAAUAGUAUAGGAUGUGUGUUGUUCUAGUCUCAAGAUGUUUCCUAUGUUAACCCUUAGAUAUAUUUUCCCAGCUGUCUCUGGUUAUCAGGAAAAUGUGCCUUUAAAAAAAAAUUCUUUUAGUAUUUGUAUAAACUGGCCUUAGCACAGUGAUGCUCAAACUGUGACAUGCAGGCCAUUUCUGGCCCCAGCCACCGCGCUGUCUGCACACAGUGCAGGUAAUAGCCAGAAAAAGAAGAAAAAAUGUUGGAUUGAUGUGUUUUUUAAAUUUCUGUGUUCCCUCUAGACAAAAAUGUUUGGGCAAAGAAAGUGUUUUCACUGUCCUUGUGUUGGCAUAAUAUUGUAAAUAUACUAAAACAAUUAUAUGUUGUUUUUCUGGACAGAAAUAAAUCCAUUGCUGCAAGC